RNAcentral lists this ribosomal RNA (103 nucleotides) under uncultured methanogenic archaeon. RNAcentral describes it as "partial 16S ribosomal RNA". It matches the Rfam family "Archaeal small subunit ribosomal RNA", at positions 368 to 472 of the family's 1478-position model. The record is from RNAcentral. Lineage: Archaea; Methanobacteriati; Methanobacteriota.
CGAUGAGGGANUCCAGNUGCUANCACAUUAGUGUUAGCUUUUCUUAAGCGUANANAACUUAAGGAAUAAGGGCUGGGUAAGACGGGUGCCAGCCGCCGCGGUA